GAUGAAGAACGCAGCGAAAUGCGAUAAGUAAUGCGAAUUGCAGAAUUCCAGUGAGUCAUCGAAUCUUUGAACGCACAUUGCGCCCGCCAGUAUUCUGGCGGGCAUGCCUGUUCGAGCGUCAUUACAACCCUCAGGCCCCCGGGCCUGGCGUUGGGGAUCGGCGGAAGCCCCCUGCGGGCACAACGCCGUCCCCCAAAUACAGUGGCGGUCCCGCCGCAGCUUCCAUUGCGUAGUAGCUAACACCUCGCAACUGGAGAGCGGCGCGGCCACGCCGUAAAACACCCAACUUCUGAAUGUUGACCUCGAAUCAGGUAGGAAUACCCGCUGAACUUAAGCAUAUCAAUAAGGGAGGA
RNAcentral lists this unclassified non-coding RNA (353 nucleotides) under soil metagenome. Its description in RNAcentral is "partial contains 5.8S ribosomal RNA, internal transcribed spacer 2, and large subunit ribosomal RNA". The stretch from base 1 to 121 matches the Rfam family "5.8S ribosomal RNA", at positions 35 to 154 of the family's 154-position model. The record is from RNAcentral.